GGGACACGUGGUAUCCUGUCUGAAUAUGGGGGGACCAUCCUCCAAGGCUAAAUACUCCUGACUGACCGAUAGUGAACCAGUACCGUGAGGGAAAGGCGAAAAGAACCCCGGCGAGGGGAGUGAAAAAGAACCUGAAACCGUGUACGUACAAGCAGUGGGAGCACAGAGCAAUCUGUGUGACUGCGUACCUUUUGUAUAAUGGGUCAGCGACUUAUAUUCUGUAGCAAGGUUAACCGAAUAGGGGAGCCGAAGGGAAACCGAGUCUUAACUGGGCGUUAAGUUGCAGGGUAUAGACCCGAAACCCGGUGAUCUAGCCAUGGGCAGGUUGAAGGUUGGGUAACACUAACUGGAGGACCGAACCGACUAAUGUUGAAAAAUUAGCGGAUGACUUGUGGCUGGGGGUGAAAGGCCAAUCAAACCGGGAGAUAGCUGGUUCUCCCCGAAAGCUAUUUAGGUAGCGCCUCGUGAAUUCAUCUCCGGGGGUAGAGCACUGUUUCGGCAAGGGGGUCAUCCCGACUUACCAACCCGAUGCAAACUGCGAAUACCGGAGAAUGUUAUCACGGGAGACACACGGCGGGUGCUAACGUCCGUCGUGAAGAGGGAAACAACCCAGACCGCCAGCUAAGGUCCCAAAGUCAUGGUUAAGUGGGAAACGAUGUGGGAAGGCCCAGACAGCCAGGAUGUUGGCUUAGAAGCAGCCAUCAUUUAAAGAAAGCGUAAUAGCUCACUGGUCGAGUCGGCCUGCGCGGAAGAUGUAACGGGGCUAAACCAUG
This 773-nucleotide ribosomal RNA is filed under the name Escherichia coli. RNAcentral describes it as "partial 23S ribosomal RNA". It matches the Rfam family "Bacterial large subunit ribosomal RNA", at positions 419 to 1191 of the family's 2925-position model. RNAcentral also lists the same sequence under 2 other names. The record is from RNAcentral. Lineage: Bacteria; Pseudomonadati; Pseudomonadota; Gammaproteobacteria; Enterobacterales; Enterobacteriaceae.